This 237-nucleotide ribosomal RNA is filed under the name uncultured bacterium. RNAcentral describes it as "partial 16S ribosomal RNA". It matches the Rfam family "Bacterial small subunit ribosomal RNA", at positions 523 to 759 of the family's 1533-position model. The record is from RNAcentral.
AUACGGAGGGGGCUAGCGUUGUUCGGAAUUACUGGGCGUAAAGCGCACGUAGGCGGACUGAAAAGUUGGAGAUGAAAUCCCAGGGCUCAACCUUGGAACUGCCUUCAAAACUAUCAGUCUGGAGUUCGAGAGAGGUGAGUGGAAUUCCGAGUGUAGAGGUGAAAUUCGUAGAUAUUCGGAGGAACACCAGUGGCGAAGGCGGCUCACUGGCUCGAUACUGACGCUGAGGUGCGAAAG